CCUACGGGUGGCUGCAGUGGGGAAUAUUGGACAAUGGGGGGAACCCUGAUCCAGCCAUGCCGCGUGUGUGAAGAAGGCCCUCGGGUUGUAAAGCACUUUCAGUGAGGAAGAACGCCUGGUGGUUAAUACCCAUCAGGAAAGACAUCACUCACAGAAGAAGCACCGGCUAACUCCGUGCCAGCAGCCGCGGUAAUACGGAGGGUGCGAGCGUUAAUCGGAAUUACUGGGCGUAAAGCGCGCGUAGGUGGCUUGAUAAGCCGGUUGUGAAAGCCCCGGGCUCAACCUGGGAACGGCAUCCGGAACUGUCAAGCUAGAGUGCAGGAGAGGAAGGUAGAAUUCCCGGUGUAGCGGUGAAAUGCGUAGAGAUCGGGAGGAAUACCAGUGGCGAAGGCGGCCUUCUGGACUGACACUGACACUGAGGUGCGAAAGCGUGGGUAGCAAACAGUAUUAGAUACCCCAGUAGUC
RNAcentral lists this ribosomal RNA (465 nucleotides) under Vreelandella stevensii. RNAcentral describes it as "partial 16S ribosomal RNA". It matches the Rfam family "Bacterial small subunit ribosomal RNA", at positions 338 to 795 of the family's 1533-position model. Lineage: Bacteria; Pseudomonadati; Pseudomonadota; Gammaproteobacteria; Oceanospirillales; Halomonadaceae. The record is from RNAcentral.